UGAACGACUCUCGGCAACGGAUAUCUACGGCUCUUGCAUCGAUGAAGAACGUAGCGAAAUGCGAUACUUGGUGUGAAUUGCAGAAUCCCGUGAACCAUCGAGUCUUUGAACGCAAGUUGCGCCUGAAGCCAUUAGGUUGAAGGCACGUCUGCCUGGGCGUCACGCA
This 166-nucleotide ribosomal RNA is filed under the name Gaylussacia pallida. RNAcentral describes it as "5.8S ribosomal RNA". It matches the Rfam family "5.8S ribosomal RNA". Rfam says of the family: 5.8S ribosomal RNA (5.8S rRNA) is a component of the large subunit of the eukaryotic ribosome. It is transcribed by RNA polymerase I as part of the 45S precursor that also contains 18S and 28S rRNA. Functionally, it is thought that 5.8S rRNA may be involved in ribosome translocation. The record is from RNAcentral. Lineage: Eukaryota; Viridiplantae; Streptophyta; Magnoliopsida; Ericales; Ericaceae.